Junco hyemalis (dark-eyed junco) is the source of this 1895-nucleotide long non-coding RNA. The record is from Ensembl. Lineage: Eukaryota; Metazoa; Chordata; Aves; Passeriformes; Passerellidae.
CCCAAGUUUUUUAUCCCAUAUUUUCCCAUAUUUCUCCAUGGUUUUUAUCCUGUAUUUACCUAUAUUUCCCCAUGGUUUUUAUCCUGUAUUUUUCCAUAUUUCCCCAUGUUUUUUAUCCCGUAUUUUCCCAUAUUUCCCCAUGUUUUUUAUCCUGUAUUUUCCCAUAUUUCCCCAUGUCCUUUAUCCUGUAUUUACCUAUGUUUCCCCAUGGUUUUUAUCCUGUAUUUUCCCGUAUUUCCCCAUGGUUUUUUAUCCUGUAUUUUCCUGUAUUUCCCCAUGGUGUUUAUCCUGUAUUUACCUAUAUUUCCCCAUGGUUUUUAUCCUGUAUUUUCCCAUAUUUCCCCAUGUUUUCCCUGCCCUCCUGGCUAACCCUCGUGUCCCCGUUGUGGCUCCUGCCUUGUCUCCUUGUCUGUGGCUGCUCAUUCACCCACAUCCUCCUAUACCCUCGAGUGUUAUCCCAUGUUUUUUAUCCCAUAUUUUCCCAUAUUUCCCCGUGAUUUUUAUCCUGUGUUUACCUAUAUUUCCCCAUGGUUUUUAUCCUGUAUUUUCCCAUAUUUCCCUGUGUUUUCUCCCUGCAGGGCCUGGGCUGCGGCUCCUGCGCCGGCUGCCUGAGCACCGAGGACUGCGGCAGCUGCUGCAUCUGCCUGCGGCGCCUGCAGCCCGGCCUCAAGCGCCAGUGGCGCUGCCUGCGGCGCCGCUGCCUGCGCCCCAAGAAAGCCAAGGUGGCCAAGAAGCCGCAGAGCCCCCGGGCCCUGACAGAGAAAUGGAAGCCUCUCGUGGAGCGGGAGCCCAGCGAUGCCUCCAGCGCCAGGCACAGAAAGCUGCUGAACAAGGGCAAGGAGAAGAAGAAGCCGGGGCGACCCCUCAAGGCCCCUGGGCCCCGUGGGGUGAGUGACAGGCCUUGGCCACGCCCCCUGUGUCAUAGCCCCGUCCCUCCAUCAAUGGCCGCGCCCCUUCCAGAGCAGCUAUUGGGGCAGGGGGGAAGCCGUAAUGCUCCUAAUAUAGGGGCCUGUAAAAGGGGGCAGGAUUGGGGUGCAGGUACCAUAAUGAUCCUAUGAGCCAUUCCAAGACUGAAUAUUGGGGUUCAUCACAUUCAAACCCCAUUAAUAUUGGGGUGCCAAAACCAUAAUGCCCCUAAUGCUGGGGCCAGAUCAUUGUGACAGCCCAAAAACUGUUCACAGCUGAUGGUGAGGUUUGAGCGACCCUGCCUGUGGCGUUGGGGCAGUGUAAUGCUCCAAAUUUUGGGGUUCAGGUACCUCAAAACUCCUCAGAGCAGAGUUUGGUUACCAUAAUUCUCCUAAUAACUGUUCCAGGUAUAGCAAGACCCAAGAUACCAAUAGUGGGGUACAGAUAACGUAAUACCUCUAGUAGCAGACUGCCCCAAAUGCUGGGGCUUAGGUACCAUAGUGGCUCUAUUAAUGGAGUGCAGAUACCAUAAUGCCUCUAAGAGUGCAGCUACCAUGAUGCCCCAAAUAGUGAGGUGCAGUUACCAUAAUGUCUUCAAAAGUGGGGUGCAGAUACCGGAGUGCCUCUAAUAGUGGGGCUCAGAUGCCGUAAUACCUCUAAUAGUGGGGUGCAGAUACCGUAAUGCCUCAAAUACUGGGGCUUGGAUACCAUAAUGUGUCUAAUAGUGGAGAACAGAUAACAUAAUAUUUCUAAUAUCAGGGUGCAGAUACCAUAAUGCCUCUAAUAGUGGGGUUCAGAUACCAUAAUGCCCCUCCUAGUAGGGUGCAGAUACUGUAAUGUCUCUAAUAGCAGAGCUUUGAUACUGUAUUGCCUCAAAUAGUGAGGCUUACAUGCCGUAAUGUUUCUAAUAGCAGGGCUCAGACACCAUAAUGCCUCUAAUAGUGGGGUGCAGAUACCACAGUGUCCCAAAUACUGGGGCUUAGAUAUCC